Molecule: ribosomal RNA, 198 nt
Filed under: Triticum aestivum (bread wheat)
Lineage: Eukaryota; Viridiplantae; Streptophyta; Magnoliopsida; Poales; Poaceae
Description: partial small subunit ribosomal RNA
Source: RNAcentral
AUGGAGUAUGACGAGCGAUACACGGAGUAUAUCCGGAAGACCGGGCUUCUCCCUUUCAUCUCACUCGUGUCUCGUUCGAUGCCGAAGAUGAACCCUUGUGCGAUCACGGCACUCGUUGGCCGAUGGAGCCCUGAGACACAUACUUUUCACUUCUAUGUUGGGGAGAUGACGGUCACUUUGCAGGAUGUUUCUCUGAUA